CCUACGGGAGGCAGCAGUAGGGAAUAUUGGGCAAUGGGCGAAAGCCUGACCCAGCAAUGCCGCGUGAGUGAUGAAGGCCUUAGGGUUGUAAAGCUCUUUUACCAGGGAUGAUAAUGACAGUACCUGGAGAAUAAGCUCCGGCUAACUCCGUGCCAGCAGCCGCGGUAAU
RNAcentral lists this ribosomal RNA (169 nucleotides) under uncultured bacterium. RNAcentral's name for it is "partial 16S ribosomal RNA". It matches the Rfam family "Bacterial small subunit ribosomal RNA", at positions 338 to 524 of the family's 1533-position model. The record is from RNAcentral.